ACCAAUCAGGGAUUGCCUCAGUACGGCGAGUGAAGCGGCAAAAGCUCAAUUUGAAAUCUAGCACCUUCGGUGUUCGAGUUGUAAUUUGAAGAUGGUAACCUUGGGUUUGGCUCUUGUCUAUGUUCCUUGGAACAGGACGUCAUAGAGGGUGAGAAUCCCGUCUGAUGAGAUGCCCAUUCCUAUGUAAGGUGCUAUCGAAGAGUCGAGUUGUUUGGGAAGGGAGCUCUAAGUGGGUGGUAAAUUCCAUCUAAAGCUAAAUAUUGGCGAGAGACCGAUAGCGAACAAGUACAGUGAUGGAAAGAUGAAAAGAACUUUGAAAAGAGAGUGAAAAAGUACGUGAAAUUGUUGAAAGGGAAGGGCAUUAGAUCAGACUUGGUGUUUUACGAUUAUCUUCUCUUCUUGAGUUGUGCACUCGUAUUUCACUGGGCCAGCAUCGAUUCGGAUGGCAAGAUAAUGGCAGUUGAAUGUGGCUUCACUUCGGUGGAGUGUUAUAGCUUCUGCUGAUAUUGCCUGUCUGGAUCGAGGGCUGCGUCUUUUGACUAGGAUGCUGGCGUAAUGAUCUAAUGCCGCCCGUCUGAAAAACCGGGACCA
Molecule: ribosomal RNA, 591 nt
Filed under: Hansenula anomala
Lineage: Eukaryota; Fungi; Ascomycota; Saccharomycetes; Phaffomycetales; Wickerhamomycetaceae
Description: eukaryotic LSU rRNA
Rfam family: Eukaryotic large subunit ribosomal RNA
Source: RNAcentral